UGCCAGCCGCCGCGGUAAUACGGAGGGUGCAAGCGUUAAUCGGAAUUACUGGGCGUAAAGCGCGCGUAGGCGGUUUUUUAAGUCGGAUGUGAAAGCCCCGGGCUCAACCUGGGAACUGCAUCCGAUACUGGAUGACUAGAAUGCGGGAGAGGGAGGUAGAAUUCCAUGUGUAGCAGUGAAAUGCGUAGAUAUAUGGAGGAAUACCAGUGGCGAAGGCGGCCUCCUGGCUCGACAUUGACGCUGAGGUGCGAAAGCGUGGGGAGCAAACGGGAUUAGAUA
This 279-nucleotide ribosomal RNA is filed under the name uncultured bacterium. RNAcentral describes it as "partial 16S ribosomal RNA". It matches the Rfam family "Bacterial small subunit ribosomal RNA", at positions 506 to 784 of the family's 1533-position model. The record is from RNAcentral.